Molecule: non-coding RNA, 24 nt
Filed under: Arabidopsis thaliana (thale cress)
Lineage: Eukaryota; Viridiplantae; Streptophyta; Magnoliopsida; Brassicales; Brassicaceae
Source: RNAcentral
CGCACACCAACGGGAAGAAGAGGG